Gorilla gorilla gorilla (western lowland gorilla) is the source of this 105-nucleotide small nuclear RNA. The record is from Ensembl. NCBI's taxonomy places the organism in Eukaryota, Metazoa, Chordata, Mammalia, Primates, Hominidae.
ACGCUUCCCUCAGCAGCACAUAUACUAAAACUGGACUGAUACAGAGAAGAUUAGCAUGGUCCCUGCACAAGGAUAACACGCAUUCAUGAAGCAUUCCAUGUUUAA